AACGAACGCUGGCGGCAUGCCUAACACAUGCAAGUCGAACGAGACCUUCGGGUCUAGUGGCGCACGGGUGCGUAACGCGUGGGAACCUGCCCUUAGGUUCGGAAUAACUCCCCGAAAGGGGUGCUAAUACCGGAUAAUGUCUUCGGACCAAAAAUUUAUCGCCUUUGGAUGGGCCCGCGUUGGAUUAGCUAGUUGGUAGGGUAAAAGCCUACCAAGGCGACGAUCCAUAGCUGGUCUGAGAGGAUGAUCAGCCACACUGGGACUGAGACACGGCCCAGACUCCUACGGGAGGCAGCAGUGGGGAAUAUUGGACAAUGGGCGAAAGCCUGAUCCAGCAAUGCCGCGUGAGUGAUGAAGGCCUUAGGGUUGUAAAGCUCUUUUACCCGGGAUGAUAAUGACAGUACCGGGAGAAUAAGCUCCGGCUAACUCCGU
RNAcentral lists this ribosomal RNA (432 nucleotides) under uncultured bacterium. RNAcentral describes it as "partial 16S ribosomal RNA". It matches the Rfam family "Bacterial small subunit ribosomal RNA", at positions 29 to 506 of the family's 1533-position model. The record is from RNAcentral.